This 201-nucleotide long non-coding RNA is filed under the name Manihot esculenta (cassava). Its description in RNAcentral is "long non-coding RNA (MESC_LNC010980)". Lineage: Eukaryota; Viridiplantae; Streptophyta; Magnoliopsida; Malpighiales; Euphorbiaceae. The record is from RNAcentral.
AUGUAUGGGAUUAAACAGGUUUACAGGUUAUAUGUCAGGCUUGCUACGGGUCCCGGCGGCCUUAUGCCGAUCUGAAUCCUAGCGCCAGUAGCGGUCCGAUUUCCGGGUCGUUACACCAGACCUGACUUGAUCUUAUUCCAGAACUUAUUCUUCUUCGACUUCUUGGUGGUACUGCCCCCUCCUCUUACUGCCUAAACUCAG